Molecule: ribosomal RNA, 409 nt
Filed under: uncultured bacterium
Lineage: Bacteria
Description: partial 16S ribosomal RNA
Rfam family: Archaeal small subunit ribosomal RNA
Source: RNAcentral
GGCGCGAAAACUUUACAAUGCUGGCAACAGCGAUAAGGGAACCUCGAGUGCCAGGUUACAAAUCUGGCUGUCGAGAUGCCUAAAAAGCAUUUCAUAGCAAGGGCCGGGCAAGACCGGUGCCAGCCGCCGCGGUAACACCGGCGGCUCGAGUGGUAACCGUUAUUAUUGGGUCUAAAGGGUCUGUAGCCGGCCGGAUAAGUCUCUUGAGAAAUCUGGCAGCUUAACUGUCAGGCUUUCAGGAGAUACUGUCUGGCUCGAGGCCGGGAGAUGUGAGAGGUACUUCAGGGGUAGGGGUGAAAUCUUGUAAUCAUUGAAGGACCACCAGUGGCGAAGGCGUCUCACCAGAACGGACCUGACGGCAAGGGACGAAAGCUAGGGGCACGAACCGGAUUAGAUACCCUAGUAGUCC